Schistosoma mansoni is the source of this 46-nucleotide non-coding RNA. Lineage: Eukaryota; Metazoa; Platyhelminthes; Trematoda; Strigeidida; Schistosomatidae. The record is from Rfam.
GCACUGCUGUGGAGUCCCGCAAUAGGACGAAACGGCCGUCCAGUGC